This 869-nucleotide ribosomal RNA is filed under the name uncultured archaeon. RNAcentral describes it as "bacterial SSU rRNA". It matches the Rfam family "Archaeal small subunit ribosomal RNA", at positions 1 to 878 of the family's 1478-position model. The record is from RNAcentral.
CUCCGGUUGAUCCCGCCGGACCUGACUGCUAUCGGAUUGGUACUAGGCCAUGCGAGUCAUUGUAGCAAUACAAGGCGGACGGCUCAGUAACACGUAGUCAACCUAACUCGUGGACGUGGAUAACCUCGGGAAACUGAGAAUAAACCACGAUAGAUCAUAGUGCCUGGAAUGGCUUAUGGUCCAAACAGUUUACUGCCAUGGGAUGGGACUGCGGCCUAUCAGCUUGUUGGUGAGGUAAUGGCCCACCAAGGCGAUUACAGGUACGGGCUCUGAGAGGAGAAGCCCGGAGAUGGGUACUGAGACACGGACCCAGGCCCUAUGGGGCGCAGCAGGCGAGAAACCUUAGCAAUGUGCGAAAGCACGACUGGGUCAGUCCGAGUGAUUCCUGAUAAAGGAGUCUUUUGCUUGUCCUAAAAGCACAGGUGAAUAAGGGGUGGGCAAGUCUGGUGUCAGCCGCCGCGGUAAUACCAGCACCUCGAGUGGUCAGGACGUUUAUUGGGCCUAAAGCAUCCGUAGCCGGCUCUGCAAGUCUUCGGUUAAAUCCACCUGCUCAACAGAUGGGCUGCUGGAGAUACUACAGAGCUAGGGAGUGGGAGAGGCAGACGGUAUUCAGUGGGUAGGGGUAAAAUCCUCUGAUCCAUUGAGGACCACCAGUGGCGAAGGCGGUCUGCCAGAACACGUUCGACGGUGAGGGAUGAAAGCUGGGGGAGCAAACCGGAUUAGAUACCCGGGUAGUCCCAGCUGUAAACGAUGCAAACUCGGUGAUGCAUUGGCUUAUGGCCAAUGCAGUGCCGCAGGGAAGCCGUUAAGUUUGCCGCCUGGGAAGUACGGACGCAAGUCUGAAACUUAAAGGAAUUGGCGGGGGAGCA